GCAGGGUGUGAGGGAGCCGCAGGGUGUGAGGGAGCCGCAGGCAGCCGCGGGGACUGCCCACACCGCUCCGUGUAAAGGGGCACAGGAUGCACACACGACAGAACAAGCAGGCACCCUGAGGAGUGACUAAGGCUGCACUUCCCGAAGAACACUUCAAAUGAGAGCUCGUGUGUGACUGAUGCCUGGUUAGCAGUACAGGGAUCCUCUCUCCUGCCCCACCAGCCAGCUGUGUUCAGAAAAAAGGCAUCAUCUUCUACACAUCCUCCAAAUCUCCAGCAAUCUCACAGAAGUCAAAGUUUUAUCAAAGGAGAUCUUUGAUCUUCAUUAAUUCCACUACCCAAUGUGAACCUAACUAACAGGGUCCAAACACUACUAAAGCAAAGAGAGCAUAUAGAAUCAUUUCUACCAUUAAUUUACAACUAAGCCUUAAACAGGAGAAGUAAUAAGGAGAAAUCUGGAUUACUAUCCCUUCCUUCUCCCUCAUGAGAAAGAGGACUCCAGACACAUUUCACUGUGUGGAAAUUUCAAAUUUGUAAUCUGAUUAAGGUGUCUGACCACAGCUGUUUGAGUGAGCCAGCAGACACUUGUCACUGCAAACUAUGUUGAAGUUCAAGAUCUACAGAGCAGUGUAGAUCUUCAGAAUAAUACUGGAAAUGUUGGGGGUUUUUCCCUCCCCAAGUUCUGUUAUUAAGGGAAGUUUUAAGCAUGGUUGAAGUAAAGACCAUACAUACCAUCAUAACUUUUCCCAUGCAGACAAAACAAUUCAGGCCAAAUGACAUCCAGUAUUAUUCACCAAUAGCUCUUUACCUGGUUUCUAUAAUAGACAGUUAUCACUCUUGCCCUGCCAUUCCAGUCCAAUUUGUACCUUCCUACUACAGUGCCCCAAUGAGCUUUCUUGUGUUUUCCUGCAAUGCCUCAGCUUUAGGUGAGGCUAUUACUUCUACUGAAAACCACAAGCAUGUUAGUAUACUCUUGCUUUGGGGUCAACUACUUUCUCUGUGAAAUGAAAGAGGUUUUAUGUAAUGUUGUUAUUUACUGAAUUCUUGUUUUGUGUCCUUUAAGAUAACUAAAAUAAUUAAGAGGUAUUUCAGGCUUCACCUGUAGGCUAAUACAUCACCUUGAACCUCAGUGCAAACCCUUCUGUGCUAUCAGCUUAAAAAUAAAAGCUCCCCUAUACCCAACAAGGAAGUUACUGUGCAGCUCAGAAACUGAUGACCACUUGUAAGUAAUAUUUAAAUCAAGCAAUUUCUCCACAUAAAUUUAGAGAGAAAUUUGCAGAAUUACAGAUGUUGUGCUAAUUAUGUGUUAGCCUUUCCUGAAAAUUAAAAGGCAAAAGAAGCAUUAAAAAAAGUUUGGUGUUAAGCAAAAACCCAAUUCUUACACUAAAACUCACCCAUGCUCUGAUGCAUUAUGCUUUUUCACAUUGACAAGAACACUUAAAAUGUUAAGAGAACUUGGUACUAAAUAAUAGCCAUUAUAAUAUUUAUGGUGUUAAGUGCAUCUGUCCCAUUUGUAAUUAGGAGUGAAGUGGCAGUUUCUGAGGUUAGAAUCUGCAGCCCAGCAGGUUUAAGAGAGACCUUGUUAGGGACAAUAAACCCUGGAGGAGUUAUCACUGUAGGGGCUCUCUUGUGUCAGGAAAAUAGAAAUAGCAUAAUAUGCUCGCAAGUCACAUAACAUUUGGGUACUGGAAGGACACAUUUUUGUUCCAUACAAGUGUAAAGCAAAUUUAAAAGAAGAUUCUCUAAUGCAAAAUAUACACAGCUAAGUAAAUCUUCUAUACUUGAAUAUGAUGAUUUUUGUUCCAAAUACAUUGAUAACCAGGAGCUUUUUUACAGGAAUUGUUGCCAAAUCCAGAUUAAACUCUUAACAUUUCCCUUCAGGUAAUGGAAAAUCAAGAUGAGGCACUGCUUCCACAGCUCCUUGCAAUACUUACUGUUCAGACCACAUAAAAAGAUUUAAGUACACGCUAGUGAACAAAACUUGGAAAUUCUCUUUACUGGCUUCCUUGGGUGCUUGCCUGAGAUUUAAAGAGACAAAGAAAUCUUACUUUUUGUCAUGAAUUAAUAGAGCUAUUUGAUCCAAACUACAGAGACAUUCAAGCUGCUAGUAAUCCUCAUAUUAAUGAUUUUCUGAUAGUUCUGCUAAUGAUUUUACAUUAAGAAUCAGUCACCAAAUUAACAUACUUCAAACUGCAGCAACCUGAAUUUUUGAUUUAGCUUUCCUCUGAUGUUUUUUCCCCUCCCAGUAAAACAGGAAGAAAACCUGCAGCAAGUAGGUACUUUCUGAACACAUUUAUGCCUUGCAUAUCCUAUUAAUACAAUGCACACCAAAAAAAAUCCUAUCUAAAUGAAAUGUCAUGGUAGAUGACAUUAACAGUAUUUUUUUCUCUAAGAAAAAAAGCACUAGCUUCCAGGUACACUAACACAAACUGUAACUAUAAAUGCAUUAAGAGGCUUCAGUCGUUUGAUGGUAGACUUAGUGUGAAUGCUGAGGUGUUUUAACCGUGUCCAACUAGCAAGAUGAUGAUUAGCACUUCCACUAGCAGGGAAGUCAAAGCUCUGAAUAAUUGCAAAGAUCUGUAAGAUUAAAGCUUUGAGCAUUCUGUGGUUUUUAAAUCCAUACUCAGAGCUGCCCACAUACUCUUAGCAUGUAGGAUUUUUUCCAGAAACCCUUAAAUCAUGCAGUUUUCUCCAUCACAGGCAACCCACCUCAUUUUCUAAGAAGACCAAAGUGUACCUUCUGAUGCCAAGUUCUUGUUCUGCUUCAAGCUCUAACUCAAUCUCUCCAAAACUAAUGAUGAAUAAACUUCACAGAGAGGUAAACUUAAGUAGGGCAAAUCCAGGUUCAGUACCAGGCUCCUGAGAAUACUGCAUUUAAAGAAUUGUAUGAAAUCAUUCAACAGGACUUGGUGCUGAGAAAUAUAUUUUUCCUUUCCAAAUCUCCUACUGAGAAAGAGGCAGGGUGCAGGGGAUUAAAAACACAAAAAACAAUACCCACCCUCCCCACUCUUGUUUUUGUUUCCAUACUGAUUCACAACUCCUUUAGUCUACAACUCUUCCUUCUACUCUUCAUUUCCAUCCAGAUUUUCUCUCCACUGCUGGGGAACUGCUACAGCAGACAUUUCAGCACAAAAGGAAGGAGCUUUCUUUACUUCUGUUCUACAAGCAGCACCAUCCCCAGCUGAAAGUUAUUACUAGUCAGUGCUAAGUGGCACCUGUCCUCAAGGGAUCACCCUACCCACUGCAGCAUGGAUGUAAAUAAAGCCCUACAGCUCAUUCUGUCUUUUGACAAGCUUCUCCUCAGCUUCCCCUGCAGCCCUGUGUGUGUUCACGUGGGGAGUGCCAGGGGGAGUGGGGCAUGGGAGGAGAAGGCACCUCAGCUGAUCUGGACACACACUGGCAAUUUUACAGGUUUGAAAUUAAGUCCCUGUUCCAGAUCUGAAGGCACUAGAAGUUACCUAGUAAGAAUUUACCAGUAUAAAAGUUAAACAUUUCAGGCUUCUGGUAACACAGUAGUUAACUUCUAUCUUUAUUCAUAAUUUAAAAUGAAGGCUAAGAAACCUUUACUCUAAAGUUCAUAUGAAGGAAAACAGUAUUUUUAUCCUGUCCUAAUAGUCUGUACACCUGUUUAGAGAUAAUUGCUGUAUCCUUUACCUAUUCAAGACACAGAAAUAAAAACGAGAAGUUCAGUUUGAUUAAAUAGCUUAACACUAGACUUGCUACCCACAUACAAUUUACAUGCUUAUUUUGAAAGAAAAAAAACUUUUGGAAAGGUUCAGCUUUCUCCCCCACCCCCCCACAACUGAUAAUCUUUACAUGUUUAAAUUAAAAAUAACAAAACCAACAACAAAAAACACUUGUACAGAAUCUAGGGAGAACAGGAGUUUAUUGAGUUUUACCUGUCUGAAAAGUGCUGGUGAAAAGUUGCCAUUUCAUGCUUUGUCUAUAGACAAGAUAAGUCAAAAGAGAAAUUGUUGCAAAAAACAAGCUCAUUUGAAAACUGAGUGUUUGUCCAGAACUUCUUACCAUUCCUAAGUGAACACAAAUGUGAGAAGUUUUUACAUGAAGCUAGUCCUUUUCAUUGUCAGAUGCAACAUCUACACUUAAGGUCCCUCACAACUAUUAAAAUACUUUCAGGCAGUAUUAAUACACAGAGAAGCAAUUAGUCAUAUCUUCAAGAAGCCAGGUAUCCCAGCUCUAAAAGUGCAUCAUUUAAAACAUUAGUAAUGGAAUAUUUUGAAAGAACAUCUCAUUCAGUAUUAAUGCAUGCCAUUAUUACAAAAAUAUUCAUUGCCUAUUGUAGGAACAACAACUUUCUUUUGUAGACAACAAAAAGCAUGCUGAAUGGUAUCAGAUCAAUAUAAAUCUAUUUUUAAUGAGGUUUAAGACACUGUUCAAGUCCCAUUAAGAGCAGCUUCCUCCAACUGUGCAUCAGUGUAGCCUUGCACAGCUGUUAAAAGUUUUUCACUAAUGUGGCUUAGACUGGCCCCAAACUUAAAGCAGGGCAUUAAGACAGGAUCUUGAAUUUUAGAAAUCCUUCAUUUAAUUUGUUUAAAUAAAAUAUUAAAAACCACUGUAAUAAUUAGGUAUAAAAGUUGUUAAGUAACAAAUUUGGGCCUAACUAGUACAACAUACAGGUAUUUACACAAAUGCAGAUUUGCUGUGGUCUUUAAUAUUGGGAAGACAUCAGAAUGUGAACCAUGAGCUCAAGCCCACCCCCCCAAGACUGAAAGACACAAAAACCUUGGGGAAGAGUAAUAGAAAUUGCAUGUCAGUUCAACUGCCCAAGUCAGCCCAAUAGCAUGGCUCAGCCUGGCUCAAAGUGAGCAGCAGCCACAAGUAAACCAGUCUGGCUGCAGACAUUUUAGCAGCUGCACUUUAAGUUACACUGCAAGUAAUUAACCCCAAGUCAACAAGGUAUUUCUACAAAGCAGUUGAUGACACCAAUUUUCCAAAUGGAUGAUGAUGAAAUACAUACAGAGUUCAAGAUGAAAGAGCAGAUGAAGGCAUGAGAUGUUAAAAUGAUGCGACAAAACAGAUAUAUAAAUUAAACAAGAAUGUUUAAUCAAGACAAUCCUUUCUUUUUCCUUUUUUUCUUAAACAGAGGUUCUUUCAGAGUUUUUUUAAUUGGAAAAUCAAAGCCUAUUCCCACAAUAGUGAGGCCACUUCUUUCAAGCAGCUCUGUUGUACAACUGUUACCAGGAUCCUAAACUAUUUAAAUUGUUUUCUAUUGAUAUUUCUGAACUAAAAAGUUUCAAACUAUUGUAGAUUUUAUUUGUGCUCCACAUAUUACAAGCAAUUAACAACACAAAGAAAGGUUCAAUUCCUCAGCUAGAACACCAAACUCUAUACCAAGUAUUACAUGUACACAAUACUUGCACAGUGACAAGCACAAGAAAGUACUAGUUGAGCACUUACUUUCAGAUAUUCAUACCAACUCUUAAAAUCCACUUCAGUUCUCCCACGCCACCCAGUCUACAAUUUAAGGCAUCUCCACACAGCCAUCCAUCCACUGACCCACCCACUCCCAUACACACAAUUUAUGUUGGAGGUGUUUACUCUUACAAAGAAAUCACUAUGUCAAUCAGGUACCAUUUAUUAUUUAUCCCUCUAACUGUGUCUGCAUUGAGAUAUGACAGUUAAACCAGUGUUAAAUCAAUACAAUAUUUACAGAGCACAGCACAUUAAGCUUGAGACACUCACUUGGAGGAUAAAACCACAUUUUAGAGCAGGACAAAGGUCACCAUUAUGUGUUUGAAAACAGCUAUUUACAGGUCCCUAUGACAUAACUAUAGUCUGUACACUGUUCCAA
Long non-coding RNA from Passer domesticus (house sparrow), 5811 nucleotides. RefSeq lists it as uncharacterized. Lineage: Eukaryota; Metazoa; Chordata; Aves; Passeriformes; Passeridae. The transcript has 3 exons. The record is from RefSeq and is a predicted model, not a curated record.